GUCCACGCCGUAAACGAUGGGUACUAGGCGUCGUGGGGAGCUACCCCUUCGGUGCCGUCGCUAACGCAGUAAGUACCCCGCCUGGGGAGUACGGCCGCAAGGCUGAAACUCAAAGGAAUUGACGGGGCCGCACAAGCGGUGGAGCAUGUGGUUUAAUUCGAGGCAACGCGAAGAACCUUACCUGGGCUUGACAUGCUGGUGAAAGCCGGUGGAAACAUCGGUCCCUCUUCGGAGCACCAGCACAGGUGCUGCAUGGCUGUCGU
Molecule: ribosomal RNA, 263 nt
Filed under: uncultured bacterium
Lineage: Bacteria
Description: partial 16S ribosomal RNA
Rfam family: Bacterial small subunit ribosomal RNA
Source: RNAcentral